This is a long non-coding RNA of Amphimedon queenslandica, 209 nucleotides long. RefSeq lists it as uncharacterized. The record is from RefSeq and is a predicted model, not a curated record. NCBI's taxonomy places the organism in Eukaryota, Metazoa, Porifera, Demospongiae, Haplosclerida, Niphatidae. The transcript has 3 exons.
CUCUCCUUCAUCUGGUCUCUACUCUUGUCCUCUUCCUAUGACUGAUGGAGGAGCUAGACUAAUUGAAGAAUAAGAUGGAGAAUCACGCUAGUAAGGCUGUGGGCCUUUGGUGAAGUGGGCCAUUGCUCAGGACGUUGAGAGCUACGACCCAAUCCUGAACCUUGUCCUAUCCUAGACGACAACAGGUAUCCCCAAUUCUAAUUAUACAU